Acanthosepion pharaonis is the source of this 99-nucleotide non-coding RNA. Lineage: Eukaryota; Metazoa; Mollusca; Cephalopoda; Sepiida; Sepiidae. The record is from the annotation of a GenBank genome assembly.
GUUGAAACACCGGUUCUUGUCCGAUCGUCUAAGUUAAGCACCGUCAAGCCUAGUCAGUACCUACAUGGGUGACCGCUUGGGAAUACCAGCUGUUGUAAU